CUCCCAGAACCUUAGAUUGAAAAUCCAGUUUUUUUCUCAAUAAUUAGAAAUCAUAGUUAGAAAUCGAAGAGGAACCUCACUCUCACAUCAAAGAUCGAAACUCACCAUCACAAAUUAUUCAUCGUCCUAACCGAAAUCAAAACGUAUGUAACAAUAGAAAUCUGAAGUAACCAUUUCCAUCGAGUAUCUUCUUUACCUCCAAACACAAGAGUUUCAGGUUUUCAGUUAAAUUUAAGCAUUGGGGUUUGUCAAUUUCGGGUGCGAGAGGAAAUUAUCUGAAUCUAUUAAAUGGAAGUUUCAGGGGGGCUAAAGCUUUUUUACCUGUCUUGCCUUAUGUGGCAAGAUAUAUGAUUAUCUUCUCAUGAUUCUCUUUCGAAUUGCUUGGAGUGUCUGCUGACCAGGACUAAUUUAUUUGGUGAUCUUAGUACGUAUUCCAUCAUGGUAGAUGAUGAUUGAAGAAGAAGGUCAUAUGAAGAGCUUUUGAUGAUGAUACGUUACGUGAAGAACAUGGAAUUAUGUUGGGAGUCAUCGUCGAUUUUGAAAAGAAUAGAACUUUUGUUUCUUGAGCCUUUGUGCCGUUGCAAGAUCUUUUUUUGUUCUUUUGUUUGUUCACUUUUACCUAGUUAGAUUGGCAGUAUCAGUCGGUACAUAUUUAGCUAGAUUGACCUUUGUGCUGU
Long non-coding RNA from Papaver somniferum (opium poppy), 677 nucleotides. RefSeq lists it as uncharacterized. The transcript has 3 exons. Lineage: Eukaryota; Viridiplantae; Streptophyta; Magnoliopsida; Ranunculales; Papaveraceae. The record is from RefSeq and is a predicted model, not a curated record.